RNAcentral lists this ribosomal RNA (431 nucleotides) under uncultured bacterium. RNAcentral's name for it is "partial 16S ribosomal RNA". It matches the Rfam family "Bacterial small subunit ribosomal RNA", at positions 29 to 505 of the family's 1533-position model. The record is from RNAcentral.
AACGAACGCUGGCGGCAUGCCUAACACAUGCAAGUCGAACGAGACCUUCGGGUCUAGUGGCGCACGGGUGCGUAACGCGUGGGAACCUGCCCUUAGGUUCGGAAUAACUCCCCGAAAGGGGUGCUAAUACCGGAUAAUGUCUUCGGACCAAAGAUUUAUCGCCUUUGGAUGGGCCCGCGUUGGAUUAGCUAGUUGGUAGGGUAAAAGCCUACCAAGGCGACGAUCCAUAGCUGGUCUGAGAGGAUGAUCAGCCACACUGGGACUGAGACACGGCCCAGACUCCUACGGGAGGCAGCAGUGGGGAAUAUUGGACAAUGGGCGAAAGCCUGAUCCAGCAAUGCCGCGUGAGUGAUGAAGGCCUUAGGGUUGUAAAGCUCUUUUACCCGGGAUGAUAAUGACAGUACCGAGAGAAUAAGCUCCGGCUAACUCCG